CCUGAGGCCCAGACCCCUGUCCUGCUCUUCUCUCCACUAACUCCCAUCCUCGAUAGACUUUCCAUGAGAGAAAGAAUGCUUGUUUUCAUACAACUAUCACCUUUUGAAGAAUACCUGGAAUAGGUUUUCCUACACCUAUACCUAUAGGUCAGAAUGUGAAGCUGAUGGCUGGAGUUGGAGCAGCCAUUUGGGACCAUGAGUUGAAUUUAGCAACAGAGGCCACAUCUCACAAUGCAAUAAGAUGGAAAGAGCAUGUCUCCUUGAAGACAGUACUGGAUAGUGUUGCCAUAUGAACUCUGGACAGCCUACUUUCAGAUUUUACGUGAAAGAUAAAUAUCUAUCUUGCUUAAGCUACUUAGAUUUUAAAUCUAUUUACUGCUGAAUAAAAUCCGAACUACUGCAAACACCAAUAUCAAAAAACUCCUAUUCACUCUGAUACAGGACUAUAGCUUAGUCUUUUUUGUGUCAUAUGUCUGUUCCUUCACCAUUUUUGCUUUGACAUUCCAUAAACAUCUCAAAUUUAACAUAUCUAUAAUUUUUUUAAAAUUUUAGGUUCAGGGGUACACGUGCAGGUUUGUGAUAUAGG
Callithrix jacchus (white-tufted-ear marmoset) is the source of this 586-nucleotide long non-coding RNA. RefSeq lists it as uncharacterized. NCBI's taxonomy places the organism in Eukaryota, Metazoa, Chordata, Mammalia, Primates, Cebidae. The record is from RefSeq and is a predicted model, not a curated record.